GUACAAGCUCCGAGACAAUAAAACGAUGGCGUUCGUCGAGCGACGUCUAAAAGCUUAUAUUCCCACUAAUAAAUUAUUUUGUCGAGGUGACAUGACACGUGCUCGACAACAAAAUAUUUACGUGGGAUUACCGCGAACAAUUUUGCGCUUCAAAAGGGGAAAUUUUCGAGCCGUCUCGAGAUCGUCUGAUGCAGGUCAGGUAUGCGAUCGCGUUUCUAGUGCCCAUGGUACUCAUGUACCAUAAAAAUUGCUCAACAUUGAGACAGGAGUGACGUGUGAACACAACGGGUGAAUUCUACCUGUCAAACCGGAUAUAAGUCAUCCGGCAUGUACAAGAAUGUCGUCAGACUCUAUUAAAGUGCUUCGCUUCCUAAUCCAAAACGAACUGAACGGGUUCCGCACUCAAGAAGCGUAAUUCGAGUCAGGUAGAUAUUGCCGGACCGUUGUUAAUACCAUGACCAAGGGGCAAAGAUGACCGCGGACCGGAGUUAAGGUGUCGGAUUAGUGAACGCCCGAUCUGGACCGGAGUUGAAGUUCUCCGGAGUGACUAAUGCGAUGAGGACUGAAUAUUUUAUGAGCCGUCCCUGGAUUUAAAAUUCGCAAUCUGAUACCCAACGUCACCGUUCAUCCAGUAACCCAGCGUCCAGUAGCGGUAGGAACAACCCACAACUAGUAUUUAGAUCAAAUUGAGAAAAAAAAAGCAAUUGGAAAACACAAGAUAAAAUGGUAGAAAACAUAACUGAUUUUGUCUUCAGCUCUGAACUA
Long non-coding RNA from Zophobas morio, 765 nucleotides. RefSeq lists it as uncharacterized. The record is from RefSeq and is a predicted model, not a curated record. The transcript has 5 exons. Lineage: Eukaryota; Metazoa; Arthropoda; Insecta; Coleoptera; Tenebrionidae.